CCCCCAAUCCCGGAAGUGGGGGCAAGUCUGGCCCGUUCCCCAGCGGAAACAAGGCUUCUUCCACCUGCCCCGCCUCCUCGAGCAGAGGCGGGGACGAGGCUGAGGCUCGCUUCCCAGGGUUUUCUUAACACCUCAGGCCAGUAGCAGCUCCAGUGCCUCUGGGUUUCUGUGGAAGGUGUGGGGGCGUUGUUUCGAUUUCGGGCUGAGCAUCCCGAGUGCUGCGCCCUUCCAGGCUGCGCCCUUCCAGCCUCGACUUGUAUGAUGUCAGUACAGCUAGUGAGAUGCAGCACACCACCCUUUGCUUCUGGAACAGAAACCAGACUGCAAAGGGCACUGGGCACAGAAGCUAAUGGGACUCGGAAUGACAAGACAAAAAGAGCAGAAACGGUCCAGUGCCUCUCAAUGAAUAUUUCAGGACUAUCAACACAUGCUUAUCAUGAGGAAAUUGCUUGUUUAUGCAGAGCAUGGUGCCGACGCUCCAGAACACAGCUGUUUUUGUCAGAAGUUAGGAGACCGUGAGUGACGUGGAGAAAGGUCCUAGGAACAGGGUUCUAGAACUCCAGAGUGCCUGCCUGGAAAUUUGAAGGGUAUCACGCUGCAUAUCUCAGAGGCUGAGCAUAUCUCGGUGCCUGAGCCAGUCUCUACAGUAAACUUGGGCUGUUCUAGAAACGUCUUCACUUAGCUCUCUACAAGUAAGGAUGGCAUCCUAGGAGUGCUUCAGAGGAAACAUAAUGAAGUCAACCCAAGCAUCCUGAAGGAAAAA
Molecule: long non-coding RNA, 763 nt
Organism: Acinonyx jubatus (cheetah)
Lineage: Eukaryota; Metazoa; Chordata; Mammalia; Carnivora; Felidae
Exons: 4
Source: RefSeq, a predicted model, not a curated record